GGGUAUGGAUCCAUGAAUAUUAGGGAGGAAAAAAUCAAGUGAAACUUGCAAAGUUGCCCCAGACUUUGGAUUAUGGAUUGAUGAAAAACUCGUGUGAGACUCACAAAGUUGCCCUGAUUUUUCUUUGGCAAAGGGGUUUUGUUUGGAAGAGGUAGUGGGCAUGAAAAGGAUAGGCUAAAAGGAUGGCCCCAACUGGUUUGGUUUUCUUUUGCAUGUUUCUGGCUUAUUGGCAGGGAGAUCCCCUCUUCUUGAGACAUUACCUUUUUCUUUCUUCUUCUUUUUUUAAUUUUUUUUUUACAGUGUGAAAGUCGCCUUAUCACAAAGUUAAACUUUAUGAAAAUUUGAGCAAUCAUUAUCCAAUCUUUGUGGACUUUAUUAGGCUUGUAACAUGGCUAAGGGCUAAACGGUAUUAAAAAAAGAUAUAAAGUCCCAAAUGAAUGUUUGUCGAUUAUAUUUUUUUGAAACAAAG
Molecule: long non-coding RNA, 469 nt
Filed under: Vigna radiata
Lineage: Eukaryota; Viridiplantae; Streptophyta; Magnoliopsida; Fabales; Fabaceae
Description: long non-coding RNA (VRAD_LNC004474)
Source: RNAcentral